AAUGACAAAUGACAGAGAUAAUCGUAAUACAUUUCGUUAUAUCACAAGAAUUGAAAUUAAAUUAGUAUAGCUUGAUGUAAUCCACAGAUAUUGACUUCAAUAUUGAAUUCACGUCCGUGGAAUAUUUUUAAUCAGAUAUGCAUUACCAUAAAAUCUCCUCGCUUCUUUUCUGUGGCGAGUCGAGCUAGACAUGCGUGGUGGCUGGUAAGCUUUUCAUCCAGCUCGGUGAAAGCGCUGCCGGUGCACACGCAUCACGCACACACUUACACCAUACAACACACCCGCGAAGAUCCGUCCGGAUCUAAUAUAAUAAUUCACCGCGUUUAAAGUGGUUGCCGGAGUUGCCGGCGCGCCAACCGACUUGGAUGCGGUGUUACUAAUACAAGAGUCUCACCCGUUCCACGUUUCUGCGCUUCUUUAACCGACUGUGUGCAUGUUCAUGCAGACGAGCAGGGAAGUAACGCCGACAUACAUCGUAGUUACUGUCUUCCGUACGCAAAGCGCGUUCAUAACAUAAUAAUAUAAUAAUAUUGCAUGCGGGUACGAUGAGAGGGUGCUACGGCUCAUCCCAGGCCCUUUCCGUUUGGCAAAGCGCGUUCGCCGGCGUUUCCUUUGCCACCACGUCGGCUUUCCAACGCUUCGCUUCUAUCACAGGAGAGUUUUGCGAAUCAACAUCAUAAUAUUGAGCGCAUUAAUUAAGAAAUGUUCAUUUUGUUACGGAGAGCUUAAUGGAAUGUUUUAUUUUUGA
Molecule: long non-coding RNA, 748 nt
Organism: Dalotia coriaria
Lineage: Eukaryota; Metazoa; Arthropoda; Insecta; Coleoptera; Staphylinidae
Exons: 2
Source: RefSeq, a predicted model, not a curated record